This 780-nucleotide ribosomal RNA is filed under the name uncultured beta proteobacterium. RNAcentral describes it as "bacterial SSU rRNA". It matches the Rfam family "Bacterial small subunit ribosomal RNA", at positions 89 to 864 of the family's 1533-position model. Lineage: Bacteria; Pseudomonadati; Pseudomonadota; Betaproteobacteria. The record is from RNAcentral.
CGGCGAGCGGCGAACGGGUGAGUAACACAUCGGAACGUACUCUAUCGUGGGGGAUAACACAUCGAAAGAUGUGCUAAUACCGCAUACGACCUGAGGGUGAAAGCGGGGGAUCGCAAGACCUCGCGCGACAGGAGCGGCCGAUGGCGGAUUAGCUAGUUGGUGAGGUAAAGGCUCACCAAGGCGACGAUCCGUAGCUGGUCUGAGAGGACGACCAGCCACACUGGGACUGAGACACGGCCCAGACUCCUACGGGAGGCAGCAGUGGGGAAUUUUGGACAAUGGGCGCAAGCCUGAUCCAGCCAUUCCGCGUGAGUGAAGAAGGCCUUCGGGUUGUAAAGCUCUUUCGGCAGGAACGAAACGGUGCAGGCUAAUAUCCUGUAUCAAUGACGGUACCUGAAGAAGAAGCACCGGCUAACUACGUGCCAGCAGCCGCGGUAAUACGUAGGGUGCGAGCGUUAAUCGGAAUUACUGGGCGUAAAGCGUGCGCAGGCGGCUUUGUAAGACAGGUGUGAAAUCCCCGGGCUUAACCUGGGAACUGCGCUUGUGACUGCAAGGCUUGAGUGUGGCAGAGGGGGGUGGAAUUCCACGUGUAGCAGUGAAAUGCGUAGAGAUGUGGAGGAACACCGAUGGCGAAGGCAGCCCCCUGGGUCAACACUGACGCUCAUGCACGAAAGCGUGGGUAGCAAACAGGAUUAGAUACCCUGGUAGUCCACGCCCUAAACGAUGCCAACUAGGUGUUGGGGAAGGAGACUUCCUUAGUACCGUAGCUAACGCGUGAAG